CUGAAGCUCUUUUGAUUCAUUUUUCUGCAACAGAAGUUAUAUUAUUGCAGGAUUCACCCAGGGUGUUCUACUCCUCCAUAACACCGAGAUGAUCAGAGUCCUGGCAGGGCAGCAGUCUGUCCAAGUGCCAGCAGAGAAGCUCCCACCUGACAGC
RNAcentral lists this long non-coding RNA (154 nucleotides) under Numida meleagris (helmeted guineafowl). RNAcentral describes it as "lncRNA (ENSNMEG00000005512.1)". Lineage: Eukaryota; Metazoa; Chordata; Aves; Galliformes; Numididae. The record is from RNAcentral.